AUGUCACGACCCAACUCCAAUCGUGACCGGCGCACGAACUAAUACUAGUCCGGCAAGCCUAAUGACCGAAUUUGACAAACAAUAAAUAUAUUAUUUCCAAAUGACUAUUUAUUUUAGAACAAUUUUACUGAAAUUUCGACAAAGUCUCAUCUAUAUUUUGAAUGUUUCCAAAUCAGAAUAAAUCCUGUUUGCAGCAUAUACAUCAUUCAGUCAGAAUUUUCAAAAUAUACAUGUUUAAAUUUAUACAUUUCAAAACAAGAUAUUCCUAGACUCAAAAUAGCUGCAGAUACUCGAUCAACUCCAAAUAUACAUAUACAAAAUAGUUUUUAUCAAGAAGGCCUACCAAAAGAGUGACAUUGACAAAUCGUUAACUCUGCUAGAAGCUUUCUAUUCAGUUGACUUUGAAUCUGAAAAAAAAUAUAAGAUGAAGGAGUAAGUCACAAGGACUUAGUGAGAGAUAACAAUCAUUACCAACUAGAUGGGAAACACACAAAGGCACGAGCAUUUUAUUUUUUUAGAAAGCUUGUAACAAUUAUUGUAAAGUAGUAACUAUGUAAUAUAAAUAAUACUCGAUUCAAAUCAUUAUAGAGUUUGAAAUUGAAAUUGAAAUAAGAAAAGAUAUAGAAAUCCAAUCAAAUAAAAAUAAGUCAUUACGAGAGAAUCGAGAGACGGCUACAUCUCGUUGAUAGCCCUUUCCUCCUAAGAGUGGCCUUUCACUUAGGGGCGGCUCCAUCUAACGGAUAGCCCUUUCCUCCUCGAUUACGGAAACACAUCCUCAUAUUUAAUUAGGGGGUAUACAGCUCGUUGAUAGCCAAUUCGUUA
This 822-nucleotide long non-coding RNA is filed under the name Trifolium pratense (red clover). RNAcentral's name for it is "long non-coding RNA (TPRA_LNC007944)". Lineage: Eukaryota; Viridiplantae; Streptophyta; Magnoliopsida; Fabales; Fabaceae. The record is from RNAcentral.